Molecule: ribosomal RNA, 379 nt
Filed under: uncultured bacterium
Lineage: Bacteria
Description: bacterial SSU rRNA
Rfam family: Bacterial small subunit ribosomal RNA
Source: RNAcentral
UAAGACGAACCGUGCAAACGUUAUUCGGAUUCAUUGGGCUUAAAGGGCGCGUAGGCGGCUUGACAAGUCUGAGGUGAAAACCCAUCGGCUCAACCGUGGAAGUGCCUCAGAAACUGUCGGGCUUGAGGGGGAUAGGGGCGCGUGGAACUCCCGGUGGAGCGGUGAAAUGUGUUGAGAUCGGGGGGAACGCCGGCGGCGAAAGCGGCGCGCUGGAUCUUUUCUGACGCUGAAGCGCGAAAGCCAGGGGAGCGAACGGGAUUAGAUACCCCGGUAGUCCUGGCCCUAAACGAUGGGCACUGAGUAGGAAGGGCUCCGAUGGCCCCUCCUGCUGGAGCGAAAGUGUUAAGUGCCCCGCCUGGGGAGUAUGGUCGCAAGGCUG